RNAcentral lists this ribosomal RNA (388 nucleotides) under uncultured bacterium. Its description in RNAcentral is "bacterial SSU rRNA". It matches the Rfam family "Bacterial small subunit ribosomal RNA", at positions 30 to 417 of the family's 1533-position model. The record is from RNAcentral.
AUUGAACGCUGGCGGCAUGCCUUACACAUGCAAGUCGAACGGCAGCACGGGAGCAAUCCUGGUGGCGAGUGGCGAACGGGUGAGUAAUAUAUCGGAACGUGCCCAGUCGUGGGGGAUAACGUAGCGAAAGCUACGCUAAUACCGCAUACGAUCUAUGGAUGAAAGCGGGGGAUCGCAAGACCUCGCGCGAUUGGAGCGGCCGAUAUCAGAUUAGGUAGUUGGUGAGGUAAAGGCUCACCAAGCCGACGAUCUGUAGCUGGUCUGAGAGGACGACCAGCCACGCUGGAACUGAGACACGGUCCAGACUCCUACGGGAGGCAGCAGUGGGGAAUUUUUGGACAAUGGGCGAAAGCCUGAUCCAGCAAUGCCGCGUGAGUGAAGAAGGCCU